RNAcentral lists this ribosomal RNA (566 nucleotides) under Penicillium citreonigrum. RNAcentral's name for it is "eukaryotic LSU rRNA". The stretch from base 192 to 345 matches the Rfam family "5.8S ribosomal RNA". Lineage: Eukaryota; Fungi; Ascomycota; Eurotiomycetes; Eurotiales; Aspergillaceae. The record is from RNAcentral.
CUGCGGAAGGAUCAUUACCGAGUGAGGGCCCUCUGGGUCCAACCUCCCACCCGUGUUUAUCGUACCUUGUUGCUUCGGCGGGCCCGCCGCAAGGCCGCCGGGGGGCAUCUGCCCUCUGGCCCGCGCCCGCCGAAGACACCAUUGAACGCUGUCUGAAGAUUGCAGUCUGAGCAAUUAGUUAAAUAACUUAAAACUUUCAACAACGGAUCUCUUGGUUCCGGCAUCGAUGAAGAACGCAGCGAAAUGCGAUACGUAAUGUGAAUUGCAGAAUUCAGUGAAUCAUCGAGUCUUUGAACGCACAUUGCGCCCCCUGGUAUUCCGGGGGGCAUGCCUGUCCGAGCGUCAUUGCUGCCCUCAAGCACGGCUUGUGUGUUGGGCUCCGUCCUCCUCCCGGGGGACGGGCCCGAAAGGCAGCGGCGGCACCGCGUCCGGUCCUCGAGCGUAUGGGGCUUCGUCACCCGCUCUGUAGGCCCGGCCGGCGCUUGCCGACACAUCAAUCUUUUUUCCAGGUUGACCUCGGAUCAGGUAGGGAUACCCGCUGAACUUAAGCAUAUCAAUAAGCCGGA